UUUCUGCCCCAACUGUGUUACCAUGUUCAGUAUACAGUAAAGUGUGUUACCAUAUUCAGUAUACAGUAAUAUGUUACUGUGUUUGAUGUACAGUAACCAUUGACACUUUGAUUUAGUGGAGCUCAGAGAUAUUACAACAGUUCAGAAGCAGCUUAUUAGCAAAGCUGCAGCACAAAACCACAACCAACACAACUGCUGACCUGAUGUAGAUGAGUGUGUGUGUGUGUGUGUGUGUUUGCAUAUUGAGUGCUGUGAGUGUUUAUAGUGCUGUGAGUUAAACACUUCAUCACUGACGCAAACAACAAUUUUCAUCAUCAUGACCUUCAUCAUGAUCUUCAUCUGGACUCUCACAGUGUUUGCUCGAGAGUGUGGAGGACAGAUCAGCGUCACUCAGAGUCCCUCAAUGACAGCAGAACCAGACCAAACCGUCACAAUCACCUGCAGAACCAGUAGAGAUGUGUACAGAUAUGAUGAUGGAGAUGAUGCUUUUUUCUGGUAUUUACAGAAACUUGGAGAAGCUCCUAAACUUCUGGUUCGUUAUGCAAAAAGUCUGGAAUCAGAAACUCCGUCUAGAUUCAGUGGCAGAGGAUCUAACAGUGAUUUCACUCUGAGCAUCAAUGGAGUCCAGACUGAAGAUGCUGGACAUUAUUACUGUCAGAGUUUCCACUGCAGAACAGAUUCGAACAAUAACUGUGUGGGUGAUGUUGUGUUGACACAGUGAUAAAGAGUGAUACAAAAACCUCCGUCAGUCAGUCAGAGUCACAGAGACUGAACUGAUCCUGGAGCAGCUCAAACACUGAACACAAAUUAAACACUGAACUCAAUCUGACU
This is a non-coding RNA of Danio rerio (zebrafish), 831 nucleotides long. The record is from the annotation of a RefSeq genome assembly. Lineage: Eukaryota; Metazoa; Chordata; Actinopteri; Cypriniformes; Danionidae.